RNAcentral lists this ribosomal RNA (392 nucleotides) under uncultured bacterium. RNAcentral describes it as "partial 16S ribosomal RNA". It matches the Rfam family "Bacterial small subunit ribosomal RNA", at positions 523 to 918 of the family's 1533-position model. The record is from RNAcentral.
AUACGGAGGAUGCGAGCGUUAUCCGGAUUUAUUGGGUUUAAAGGGAGCGUAGGCGGGAGCUUAAGUCAGCGGUUAAAUGGUGCGGCUCAACCGUGCCCUGCCGUUGAAACUGGGUUUCUUGAGAGUGCAAGAGGCGGAUGGAAUUCAUGGUGUGGCGGGGAAAUGCUUAGAUAUCAUGAAGAACUCCGAUUGCGAAGGCAGUCCGCUGGGGCACGUCUGACGCUGAUGCUCGAAGGUGCGGGAAUCAAACAGGAUUGGAUACCCUGGUAGUCCGCACGGUAAACGAUGAUUACCCGCUGUCGGCGGUAGACAGUCGGCGGCCAAGCGAAAGCGAUAAGUAAUCCACCUGGGGAGUACGCCGGCAACGGUGAAACUCAAAUGAAUUGACGGGG